Molecule: long non-coding RNA, 674 nt
Filed under: Phascolarctos cinereus (koala)
Lineage: Eukaryota; Metazoa; Chordata; Mammalia; Diprotodontia; Phascolarctidae
Description: lncRNA (ENSPCIG00000036010.1)
Source: RNAcentral
GUUUUGUGAAGAGGGUCCUGAGAAGGAAGAGAAGGAGGUUGCAUAAUGAGAAAACUGAAAAAAUGAGAUAAGAAUUCCAAAUAAUCAGGGACAGAUCGUCUGAGGUUUAGUAAUUUUGAUGCAACUCUGGUCCUAGUGGAGGAAGUCAAGAAUGACUCAUCCCCUUUCAGCUGGCAAAGGAAAUCUGAAACCUAUCUCAGAAAGAUCAUCUGUUUUCCUUCUUGCAACAUGGAUUUGACCCUUGCACCAGCCAAACCAAACAAACCUUCAACUCUGAACAUGACAUCCUUUAGAGCAAAGAGUUGCCACUAUAUUUUUAGUGGCCACAUUCAAGCUUGGAGCAUCCCUGAGAAAUAACUUUUAAAUAUCGGAUCAUUUCUGGAUAACUACGGGAAUGCAGGUGUUGCUCAUGACUUCCAGGCAGCCUUGGAUCUCAAAAAGAGUCGAUGUGACUGUCAAUGAAUAGUCUUGCCUCUGGCCAGGCUGCCUUUUGUUGUCUUUGUGCUAUGGAUCAGUUCACAGAACACCAAAGCUCAGAGCCGGAAAGAGAUGCCAGAAAUCAAAUGGUGGAUUCCUAUUUAGGAAUGCCAUCAGGGUAUCCUGGUAAAUAUUUAACAAAUGUUUAAUACUCAUCAUUUGUAUGAAGAGGCAAGAGGCCAGUCAAAGUUUCUCUU